Molecule: long non-coding RNA, 276 nt
Organism: Aethalodelphis obliquidens (Pacific white-sided dolphin)
Lineage: Eukaryota; Metazoa; Chordata; Mammalia; Artiodactyla; Delphinidae
Exons: 2
Source: RefSeq, a predicted model, not a curated record
ACGACCGAGUCAUAGAGCGCCAGGAAGAGGCAGUUGGAGAAAAAAACUGGCAGAAUCUGCAGUGUGAUCAGCAAGUCUACGCUGAGGAUGCCCAUCUUCUCUGCCUCCUGGAUUAAGAAAAUGAAGUUGGAUAACCUGAAAGCACACCUGGAGAUUUCAAGGAUGGAAGCUACCACUACUCUUUCCUUACUGUUACCUGAAGGCAGCAAAGGGCAUUCAAGAACACUACGGAAUUCAUGCUGUGGAUUUUCAAGUGGUCUUAGUUUCAUAAAAUUU